UUUUUUAAUAUUUUAUUCAAGUAUGACAAUUCAGCUUUUUUUGUUCAUACGUUGUUUUUACAAGAAGCAAAAAAUGAAAAUAUCAACGAAAAAGCUUGUUUAAAUUUUGAUGGGAAAAUAAAAAAAAAAAAUAAGUGCAUGUACACAUACAUUGUUACUGAAAACCAAAACGAGAGAGAAUAUGUUAGUAAUGAAAGAAGAUCCAACAUUGACCUGUACAAAUCAGGUAAGUAUGCAAAUGGUAAUAGUCGUACUAAUGACAAUAACAAUUUAAACGUUUUUAAAAAAAUAAAAAAUAUUUACAAGUUUGUUGAAGAAGUUAAUAAUUUUAUUUAUUUUGCUAUUCAUAAUGAAAAACAUGUCUAUUAUGAACUUGAUUGUUUAUUUAAAAAUUGUGUUUUAGGUAGUAAAACUACAUUUUCUUUAACUUUUGUUUAUUAUGAAAUUAAAAAGGGAUGUAUAAACAGGGUGAAUUAUGAUAAUGUUAGUAAAGUUAAGAGCGAAGGUAUAGACCCAAAACGAACUGAAUUGACUGAGGAAGAAACCAUUUUGAAAUUUUCCUCUUAUCCCAAUCAACUUGACAUAAGUAAAAACCACAACAACAAUAACAAUCUGUCGAAUGGGAAAAAAAAUAAAAAACAAAAAACAGAUACAGCAUUUAUGUUUCAUUAUAAAUAUAAAAAAGACUCAAAUGUUAUCAACUUGAACGAACUUUUUGAUUAUAUUUUAUCUACACUUAUAGAAACAAAUUAUAAAAAAGAAAAGAUCUUAUUUUGGGUUGAGAUGUUGUUAAGUUUUAAAAAUUUUGGAAUAGUUAAUUUUCAUUUUGUUUUUUAUUUAUGCAGUUGGAUAAAAAGUGUGACUGAUCGUAACGGUAGUGCUAACUGUAAUGAAAACAGCAUUGACGAAUACGACAUUGAGGAACAGAAAAUAAAGAUAUGUGAAAAUCUUUAUAUCUUAUACUUAUUCAAAUUAAGUCUAGUUUUAAAUAUUAGUAUUUAUGAAAUCUUUGAUUUUUUAAUUUCUUUACCUACUAUUAUAUUUAAUUACGACUUUUUUAACUUUUAUAUGAACAAGAAAGUGUAUAGUAUAGAAAAAACAAAAGAACCACAGGUAACAGAUUUUUUAAUUUCAAUACAGAAAGAAAUAAUGCAGAUACUUUUGCAGUAUGAUUCUUUUUUAUUUAUUGAGUGUAUUCAAUAUGUAAAAGAUU
RNAcentral lists this long non-coding RNA (1213 nucleotides) under Piliocolobus tephrosceles (Ugandan red Colobus). RNAcentral describes it as "lncRNA (ENSPTEG00000008928.1)". The record is from RNAcentral. Lineage: Eukaryota; Metazoa; Chordata; Mammalia; Primates; Cercopithecidae.